Molecule: long non-coding RNA, 9940 nt
Filed under: Capsicum annuum
Lineage: Eukaryota; Viridiplantae; Streptophyta; Magnoliopsida; Solanales; Solanaceae
Description: long non-coding RNA (CANN_LNC001499)
Source: RNAcentral
UCCACAGGAAGCUACUAAAUACACUGUUGGAACUUUCCUUAGUGCUAAUGAAUGGUUGCCUAGAACAAGUGCACCUUUCUACCUUGGUCUUGGUGGAAAAUAAAUCACAACAAGAAACAAACAAACAUCAUAUUUCAUUCAUCAUUGUACCACCUACUUCUCAACCCUAGCCCCCCUCUAUCUAACCAUGCAAUUUUUGCAUGGGGAUGUUUUUUUUGUUUUGUUUUUUUUUUUUUUGGAGAAGCUAGCAUCUUUUUAUUUAAAAAAUUAGGAAUAAUAUAUAUUUAUGAUAGACACAAUAGAAUUCAUUUCUAUGUAUGUAACGAAUUCAUUGAUUAUAAGACAUGAAAAUUCCAAUGUUAUUUGUUCCUCUUAAUGUCCGUCUCAUUAGUUGUCCUUCCAAAUAUUCCGAAUAUAUAUUUAGUCCUUCCCUAUCGAUCUAACUGAUAUACCUAUGCUUUUUCCUUCAUUGUAUAUAAAAGUCAUUGACAAGCACUGUUGGGUACUAUGUAGUUUUGAUGAUUGACAAACUGACACAUGAAUGAAACAUGUUACUUGAGCUGGUCCACACAUAGGAAAGCAGAUUUUCAGUUUCACUGAUAGAUGCAGACAAGAUUGCUUAAAGAAAGGAACAAAUAAGCAAGCCUAAUUCUAAUAUACUCAAGUUAGUGAUCAUGUGGGGAAUAUAACAAGUUGAAUUUGAUUCAAACACUUAAUGAUAAGGGAAAGCAAGUUGAGUUGAAAAAAGAGUCCUAAGUGUAGAAGAAGUUUCACUUCUGAGUAUAUCCUGAAGAGUUCCAUGUGUGGGAGGAGAAAGAUUCUGAUAAAUAAAUAUGUGCUGAUUUAAAGAGUUGGAGUUUUACUACAACACUAAGCAGACAAGAGUUGGAAUUGAAGAAGGAGUCUCACUUGAAGUAGAACUCUAUGCAAUAAGAGUUAUGAUUGAAGGGGAGUUUGAAAUAAAGAAUGACUCUUUGAAGAGUUGUGCUUAAAUAGAAGAUGCAUCAGUCAGAAUAAACUACGCACUUAAAAAGCAGAAAAGAGCAAUCGACAGAUUGACUUCACGAAGUACUACUCAAUCACUGAAAAAACACAUUGAAGAACCUGGUCCUAAGUAUAGAAUCCAGCUAAGAGUUUUAGCAUUGAUUUUUAGAGUAGUUCAUUGUGUUUAAACUAUUGAUGUAAUAUUAGUUUCAGUGUGUUAUAAACUGAACCAGGAGCUAGUCUUCGAGUUGGAGAAAACUCAGAGACUUGGGAAACACAUACCUUGGGAGGUGUGUGUGUAGUUAGGAAUUAGAGUUUAUAAUUCCUAGUCGUUGAGUUAAAGGAAUUAGAGUUUAUAAUUCCUAUUUGUUGGUUACAAGAGUUUUGUAAUCGGUCGUUGUUGAGGCUCAAAGUUAUUUAGCGAAGUUGGGAUUAAAUCCUGUAGAGGUGCAGGUCGUGGUUUUUUACACCUUUUGAGCCAAGUGUUUUCCACGUAAAAAUCAUUAUGUUCUUUACUUUCUGUUUACUGCUUCCUUGGAACAUGUCAGGAAACCCGUUCCAUCGAUAGGCAACAGUUAGGCGAAAAUAAGAUAAUCAGUAGGGCACGUACUCUAUAAAGUGGUACCAUAGAAAGGUUGUCUUAAAAAGGGCUAGCACCUAAGACAAAGAUCAAUAUGAUGAAUUUCGCACCACCUACUGGUCACAGUAAAGGUCAAUCCACUAUUAGACCUCCACUCUUUGAUGGUUCUCACUUCAUUUGGUGGAAAGCUGGGAUGGAAACGUUCAUUCAAGGAGAAGACUACGAGUUAUGGGACAGGAUCACUGAUGGUCCUACUAUUCCAAUGAAAUUAGAAAAUGGUGAACGGGUCAAGAAGGUAAGAAGUAAGUUUACCGCUGAUGAAUUAAUGACAUUAAAGAAAAAUGCUAAGGCUAAGAACAUCUUAGUCUGUGGACUAGGAUCGGCUGAAUACAACAGAGUGCCAAAUUGUACCACUGCUAAGAAAAUUUGGGAUGCACUGGUCAAUGCAUAUGAGGGUACCUCUCAGGUAAGAAAAUUUAGGAUUGCUCUUCUCUUUAUUGAAUACGAAGCUUUUAAGAUGAAGGAGAAUGAAACCUUGCAUAAAAUAAUGACAAGGCUUACUGCCUUGACAAAUGAGUUGACUUCUUUGGGAAAAGUUAUCACUGUUGAAGAACUAGUUGAAAGGGUAUUGAGGGUGCUACCAAAAUCAAAAUGGAAUGUUAAAGUAACUAUUAUUAGGGAGGAAAAUAAGGAUCUCACAGGUAUGACACUAGAUGAACUAGUAGGGAAUCUGAGAACUUAUGAAAUGGAAAUUGAUGGAACUAAAGAGCUAGCAGCCCCUGAGGAUACCUUAGCUCUGAAGGCAUCUGAUAAUGAUGAAGAAAUUGAACUUGAUGAAAAACAAGUUUCCUUUAUAGCUAAAAACUUCAGCAAAAUCUUUAAAAAGAAGGAGGGAACAGGUACCAAGAAAUGGUCCAAUGACAAUCCAAAUAGAUGCUUCAAGUGUGGUAAGACUGAUCAUCAGAUCAGGGAUUGUCCUGUCUGGCAAAUAGAAUAGAGAAAUAAAAGGGAUGAAAAGGAAUUAAAAAAAAAAAAGAAAGAAUAUGCAGUGGUGGCAGCUUGAGGAUCUGACUCGGAUGAUAAUGAAGUUGAUGAAACAGUACUCAUGGCUCUUGGAGAUUUAAAAUUGGAGCAAGAAGAUGAUGAUUCUGAGGUAAGUAUAUUUGAACUUAAAGAAAAGUUGCAUUUGUUUUCUAAAAUAAAACUUAUUUCCUUAAUGAGUGCUCUAAUUGAUGAUUUCCAAGAAUUAACUUCUGAUAGGGAUGAGUUAUUCAACAAUCUUGCAAGUCUCAAGUUUGAUUUUAUUGAUCUAGAAACUUGUUAGAACACUGUUGAAAAGGAAAACUGCACUCUUAAGGAACAGGUUAGCAGACUUGAUUCAUCAAACCUGACCCUUAAAUCUGAAAUCUUGAAACUCACUCUUUCUGAAAAAAUAAAAAGGGUCAAAAGUGAGGAACAAGAAAAAAUUGAGUCAUAAUUGACUAAGAUUAAACAUGAAUACUUUUGUGAAAAAAAAAGGUUAGUCAAUUGAGUCAAGAAGUUUCUAAAUUGAAACUUGAUCUUGAAAGAGCUAAUAGAUGGACACAUUCUUCAAGAAUUUUUCAUAAGUUAGGUCAAAGAACUCACAAUGAAAAGGUUGGGUUGGGCUUUUAUAAAAGUUCUAAUGCUAUUAAAGAUCUGUGUUAUAUUUGUGGUAACCAGGGGCAUCCAACCAUUGAAUGUCCAGUUUCAGCAAAAAGCAAAUCAAGAAGCAUAAGCUUAGCAAAAAAAUCUGAUUCCAUGUUAGCACAAACUCACAAGAAGAUCAAAUCUGGUCAUAGAAACAAGUCACAUAACCUAUUGCCUCGAUGGGAUAGAAGGAACCUUAUAUAUUAUUUUUCUCAUAAGAAAGGACCCAAGCUUGUCAGGUGCCUAAAGUUAACCCCUAAUUUGUUUUGCAGGUGAGAGUGAAAGGAGGCAAACAAAAUUUGUACAUUGAUAAAGCUUGCUCAAGGUAUAAGACUGGAAGCAAAUAAAGUUUCUUUUACUCAACACAUUUAAAAGGGGAGUGGAUUUUUUUUGAGAUGGCAAAAAAAAAGAAUAACAGUGAAGCUGAUAAGCAUACACGGGAAGAUGUUGUACCAUCUGGUUCAACUAUUGUAUAGACUAAGGGCAUAUUGAUAGGGGAACAAUAAAUCAAGAAAUUGAUACAUCAAUAACACCAACACAAGCUGAUGAUAAUUUUGUUGGUAAUUCAUAAGAAUUGGUGUUGUCACAAGAAUCUUAAGAUAUCUCAUGGGAAUCAAUGGCUUGAGACUAUGGUAUUCAAAUGAAAGUAAUUUCACUUUUGAGGGCUAUAAAAAUAUUGACUAUAGGGGUUACUUAAAUGACUGGAGAAGCACCAAAGGCACUAAGUUAAAAUUGCAUUAACUCCCCUCAAUGAUUGACUAGAAUAACCAUUUUUCUUUUAAAUCUUAUUAGCUAAAAUGUUAUUCUAUUCAGUCUUGCAUAUUUAGUUGUGUGUCCCAAUUCCAGAUUUUUUAAUCUUCUAACCUAAUUUUGUAUUAGAUUGUGCAGAAAAUAGGUACAAGCAAGCAAUUGUAACCACAAAGUUCCUCUUAUCAGGUAUGCUCUACAUUGACAUAAGCAUAGGUUGUCUAAUUUGAAAUAGUUGAGCACACCCAUUCCAUACGUCACACUUCAUCCUCCCCUUGUCCUAUGAUGCUGAUGAAUUGGUUGACUAAUUUUUCUUUGACUCUCUCCAAAUGGUUGUGCACAAAUGUGUUAAUCCUACACCAGAAAUUCCUUCUUCUCUCUCAACCAAAAUAUCAGUUUUGUACCAUGGAUUUAUCAAGCUUGAUCAUCAAUCACAUGCAGCAUAUGUUUCUGAAGAAUGAAAAGGGACAUGCUCUCUCUUUUUUAGUUCCUAAUUGACUCAUAUCUUUUAGGAUUUCUCAAUCCAAGUUUAGGUUUGACUUUUCAAACAACAAUGGAUAUUUUUGAACAAAUGAAUCAUGUUGCUCUACCUGGUUCAAUAAGAAGGGCUAAAAUUCAUUGCAAAAAAAAUAAUGAGAAGAAUGAUUUAGCUGAGAUAAAUUCUGAACUAGAAGAUGCAUCUGACAGUCAUGAAGCAGAAUAAGUGGUUCUUCAGUCUAGGAUCAUGACUUUGAAGCUUGACCUUGAUUGAGAAAGGGAUGAAAAUGUUGAAGUCAUUCGUUAAUUGACACAGUUGAUAACACUUGUUCCACCUUCCUCAUCAGUUCCUCACUAUUCGUAUCCUUAGCCAUGUCCCACUUUUAUACCAUAUUUUUUAUUAAUGCUUAGUUGUUUUGCUUUGUUCAGUACUAGCUUAGGUUAAAUGUGGAACAUGCUCUGGCAGUUGAAUGGAAUGGUUAUCUUUGCUAAAUUAACUCAUAUUUUUGCUUUCUUUAUACAUUACUAUGUUGGCUAAAGUCUUUGUCAGAUUAUUUUGGUGAUAUCCCCAAUGGCCAUGAAUAGCAUAACAAUUCACUUUGGCUAGUAUUAUUGCAUUAAAAUGGUUUUCGAUGAUGCCAAAAUGGGAAAGAUAGGAGGGUUGUACAAUGUUUAUAACCCAUUGACUAACUUUUUUCAUUCUAGUGUUUUAUACUUUAGUGCCUACAGAAGGAGUUUCAAUUCUGAGUAUAUCCUGAAGAGUUUCAUGUGUGGGAGGAGAAAGAUUCUAAUAAAUAAACAUGUGUUGAUUUAAAGAGUUGGAGUUUUACUACAACACUAAGGAGACAAGAGUUGAAAUUGAAGAAUGAGUCUCACUUGAAGUAGAACUCUAUGCAAUAAGAGUUAUGAUUGAAAGGGGAGUUUGAAAUAAAGAAUGACUCUUUGAAGAGUUGUGCUUAAAUAGAAGAUACAUCAGUCAGAAUAAACUACGCACUUAAAAAGCAGAAAAGCACAAUCGAUAGAUUGACUUCACGAAGUGCUACUCAAUCACUGAAGAAACACAUUGAAGAACCUGAUCCUAAGUAUAAUCCAGCAAAGAGUUUUAGCAUUGAUUUUUAGAGUUGUUCAUUAAAUUUGAACUAUUGAUGUACUAUUAGUUUCAGUGUGUUAUAAACUGAACUAGGAGCUAGUCUUCAAGUUGGGGAAAACUCAGAGACUUUGGGAACGUAUACCUUGGGAGGUGUGUGUGUAGUUAGGAAUUAGAGUUUAUAAUUCCUAGUCGUUGAGUUAAAGGAAUUAGAGUUUAUAAUUCCUAUUUGUUGGUUACAAAAGUUUUGUAAUCAGUCGUUGUUGAGGCUCAGAGUUAUUUAGUGAAUUUGGGGUUAAAUCCUGUAGAGGUGCAGAUCGUAUUUUUUUUACACCUUUUGAGCCGGGUGUUUUCCACAUAAAAAUCGUUGUGUUCUUUACUUUCUGUUUUGCUACUUCCUUGGAACAGUCAGGCAACCCGUUCCAUCAAUAUGCAACAAUUAGACAAAAAUAAGAUAAUCAGUAGGGCACGUACUCUAACAAGCAUCAUAAAAACAAUAGAUAAUUUUCUAGAGGUGCCUCUCGGCCCUCUAGGUCAGGUUUGGAAGAGAAAAAAAAAAUUAAUGAGUAGGAUUUAUUUUUAAGGUCUCAUGGCAAUUUCUAUCAAAAAAGAAAUGAUUUAUUUUUUUAAUUUAGUGAAUAUUCAUCAGUUAGCCAAAAGGGAAAAUAUGACUCAUGUUGAAUGACGGGACAUAUGAACCAUCUUUUAAACAAAUGGUUUUAUGGUAUGUCAAUUUUAAAUCACAAAUUGUUUUUCCUUCCAACUCAUCUUUUUUCAUUUUUUUUUCCUUCCGCAGAUCCCUUUCGAUUUCAUUUUUUUACUUUUCUUUCCAUUUCAUCGUCUCAUUCUUUCUUCUUUCCACAAAAUCUCAUUUUCCCAACAAACUCUAUCUUUAGCUCAGCAAUAUAUUUAAUUUUGAUUUAUGGUUCCACAUUUUUCUUAGGUAUCUAUAACAGAUUAUAUUUACCAAAAGAGAUAACUGCAUAGCACAAACCAAAAGAAGACUAGUUAGAGCAUGUCCUAGAGAACCAGAGACGAAAAAACACAAUCUAAGCAUACAAGGGAUGGUAAUUCAGGAUGGCAAUUUCUUUGCUAGUUGGAUCAUAGGCUACCUCUAAUGAUAACUACCUGCAUUAGGUUACUGCUUAUUAUAAGGGGCGAGGGGGGAGGGGGGGGAGGAACAGGACCCUCACAUAAUUUAUUGAGUAUAAAUAAUAUGAAAAAAUUAAGUUCAAGUGUAGUAACACACUCACAUAGUUAGUUUAGUUGUGUAACUGAACAUGACCAUGGUUCAAGGGAUUUCUUAUGCCUUAAUUAUCCCAAUUAUCAAAUUUGAAAGAGAGGUAUUUUUUCUCCGUGAUCUUACGGCCCCACAAGCUAAGGCCAAUGUGAGCUUAAUGAUUAUUAGCCUUCAUUAGAAUUAUGUUAUGGAUGAGGCUCACUCUUCAGGCGAAUAAUUUCACUCAUCAUAUUCUGAUUGUGUGGCAACAUCACAAAAUUUAUCAUGUAUUACGUAGAAUUAGUAGAAGAGAACAAAAAAGUAAAACAAGUCAAUGUAUAACCCAAAUAUCAAAGAAGAAAGAAAAUAUAUCAAAUAGACAAAAUGAGCUAUCUAACCCGAAGGAGAAGUAAGCGAAAAUACAACAGGCCUAAAAGCAAGCCUGGAGUGCUAAUCUAGGAGGUUGGCCUAUAACAUGCAAAGAAAAUAUAUAGGAUUGUGGCGGGAUGAUUGGGAUCCCUCCUUCCUUAAUCAGAGGUUACGAAUCUAAGCUUUACUCAAUUUCACCAUAGUUCAGAGGAUUCCAAUGAAGGUCGAGUGCCAAACCAAUACCGGUCUUGCAGACAAACCUUAAGAGAAGUCUCUCAAUACCCUUUUGAAAGAGUAAAACAUUCGGCAAUAUGCAUAUUGAGUUCGGGUAGGUCAUAUCUUUCUAACGAGAUAAUUCAUCAAGGUUGAUGCAAGAUUAACCACUCAGUUAUUUAAAUUAUGAUCAUAAUAUUUCUUCACAUUUAGUUGCAUUCAAAACCACUCAUGUCGGCAUUGAGUUAUUGGUCAUCCCAUCAUUUUAGAGGUUAUUUUUGUGCCAAACGCUGCUUUUCCUACAUAUUUGUGUUGCCAUGCAAUUUAAGGUUACUACUCUCUUUCAUUCACACUAUAAAAAGCUCCCCGUAACAUAGCAAUUCAAUUAUCCAUCUAUUCUUCAUUUUACUAAUAAAAAUAUAAACACAAACGAGAGGAGUUACCUCGUUGUGGCAACUGCCAUCUUUCCUUUUUUCCUUUCAACAAUUAUUUUAUAGGAAAGAGGGAAAGAAUAUUAUCAAAAACCAAAAAGAGAAAAAGAGAAAAUUUAUAAGAAAAGAAAAGUAUAUAUAAGAAAAACAUCGAAACGAUGGUGGGAAAAAUAGUGGUUUCGUUGGUAUCACUGAUUCUUCUAGUUGGUGUGAUAGUGGGAGUUGUGAUGGUUGUGCACAAAAAUGGGGACAGCAAAGAUGAUAAAAGCACCAAAUUCCAAAUGAAGAAAGUGCAUGAGUUCUGUCAGGCCACUCAAUUCAAAGAUGCAUGUUCCAAAUCACUCGAAGGAGUUGCCAAAAAUGACUCCGCUACUCCACAGGACUACAUUAGUGCUGCCUUCCAGAACACUCUAGAUGAAUUGAAAAAGGGUCUGGCCGAGACUGGAAAAACUUCUGUCGACAAAGACAAGGACCCUUACAAUCAUAUGGCGAUGGAUGAUUGCAAGCAGCUCUUGCAAUUCGCUAUCGAGGACCUCCAGGACUCUCUCAGCGUUGUUGGUGAGAGUGAUACCCAGUCACUCCACCAGUAUACCUACGAUCUGUUGAAUUGGCUUUCAAAGGUCUACGCCUACCAAAGCUUAUGUGUUGAUGCCAUCAACAAUCCAGAGUACAAAUCUGCUAUCCAAAACGACCUGAUGAACGCUACUCAGCUCACCAGCAAUGCCUUACACAUCAUAGCAAAGAUGUCUCAAGUGUUGAAAUCCUUCAACAUUCAAAUCCCUGAAGGUCUCCUCGGUAACAGCAAUAACUCUCCUCACCGACGUCUCCUUGAUUUCACCAAGGUGGACCAGGACGGUUACCCAACAUGGUUCCCCGCUGCUGAUCGCAAGCUAUUGGAGAAAUCAAAAGAAGGAAAAGGAAAGGGAGGAAAGGUUGGAAAAGGUGGUAAUGCUGGUCCCCCACUACCCCCAGUCGGAUCAGGCCCAUUAACUCCUAACGCAGUCGUUGCCAAGGAUGGAAGCGGCAAAUUUAAGACCGUUGUCGAUGCUGUCAAGGCUUACCCACCAAAUCAUCAAGGCAGAUACAUUAUCUACAUCAAGGCUGGUGUUUACAACGAACAGGUCCUUGUCGAAAAAAAUCAACCAAACGUCUUCAUGUAUGGUGACGGUGCAGGGAAAACCAUCAUCAGCUGUGACAAAAAUUUUGGAAAAAUGAAAAUAACCACCAUGCAUACUGCUACAGUCGGCAAGUCUUUUGUUAAUUAUAUAAGCUUAAUCUAGUGCAUGCUUGUAUUAAUUACUAAUUAAUCUGCUGCAAUUUGGCUUGCAGGUGUUAACAGCGACGGAUUCAUAGCCAAGGGAAUUACGUUCCGCAACACUGCUGGUCCAGAAGGGCACCAAGCAGUGGCACUUAGGAUCGCAGGAGAUAGGGGGGCGGUAUUCGACUGCAGCAUGGAGGGAUACCAAGACACCUUGUACUACCAAACAGGCACGCAAUUCUACAGCAAAUGUGUCAUCUCUGGUACCCUGGAUUUCAUAUUUGGGAUGGGAACAGCUGUGAUCCAGAACAGUGAGAUCAUUGUGAGGAAGCCUUUGGGCGGCCAAAAAAACACCAUCACCGCUGAUGGCAAGGAGCAAGAUGUCGGAAUCAAUGGGGUGGUACUGCAGAACUGCAAGAUCGUAGCAGAACAAGCAUUGUUCGCAGAUAGGUUCAAAAUCGAAACUUACUUAAUGCGCCCAUGGAAGCAAUUCUCCACCAAUAUUUUCAUGGAGACCGAGAUUGGUGACUUCAUCAAGCCUGAGGGAUUUUUGAAAUGGCCAGAAAGAGAAUUCGAAAAGACAUGCUUUGUCUAUGAGUAUGCUAACAGAGGACCUGGUGCUAACACUAACCAAAGGAGCAAAAUCUUCAAGAAUUUCAAGGUCCUUAGCCCACAGGAAGCUACUAAAUACUCUGUUGGAACUUUCCUUGGUAAUGCUGCUGGUGAAUGGUUGCGUGGAACCAAUGCACCUUUCUACCUUGGUCUUGGUGGAAAAUAACUCACAACAGAAAACAAACAAACAUCUUAUUCAUCAUUGUACCACCUACUUCUCAACCCUAGCCCCUCUCUAUCUGACCAUGCAUUUUUCCAUCGGUUCUUUUAUUUUUUUGUUGGAGAAGCUGGCAUC